Molecule: ribosomal RNA, 356 nt
Filed under: Afrixalus sp. AMW-2002
Lineage: Eukaryota; Metazoa; Chordata; Amphibia; Anura; Hyperoliidae
Description: partial 12S ribosomal RNA
Rfam family: Bacterial small subunit ribosomal RNA
Source: RNAcentral
AAAACGCCAGAGAAUUACGAGCGCAAGCUUAAAACUCAAAGGACUUGACGGUGUCCCAUCUACCUAGAGGAGCCUGUUCUAUAAUCGAUAAUCCACGAUAAACCUCACCACCUUUAGCCAUAUCAGCCUGUAUACUUCCGUCGCAAGCUUACCAUGUGAAUGGCACUAGCGAGCAAAAAGUAAAAACGUCAGGUCAAAGUGCAGCCAAUAAGAUGGAAAGAAAUGGGCUACAGUUUCUAUUUUAAGAACAUACGUUCUAAUUGAAACAGUGAUAGAAGGAGGAUUUAGCAGUAAAAUGAAAACAGAAUGUUUAUUUUAACAAAGCCCUGGGACGCGUACACACCGCCCGUCACCCU